ACUUCAGGGGCGCUGUCGCAAAAGCCGGCUGAGAGUAGGAUGGAUGUUUCCUUAACCCUUCAACCUGAUACGGAUAAUGCCGUCGUAGGGAGCA
Molecule: non-coding RNA, 94 nt
Filed under: uncultured Ruminococcus sp.
Lineage: Bacteria; Bacillati; Bacillota; Clostridia; Eubacteriales; Oscillospiraceae
Source: RNAcentral